UGCCAGCAGCCGCGGUAAUACGGAGGGCGCGAGCGUUACCCGGAUUUACUGGGCGUAAAGGGCGUGUAGGCGGCCUGGGGCGUCCCAUGUGAAAGGCCACGGCUCAACCGUGGAGGAGCGUGGGAUACGCUCAGGCUUGAGGGUGGGAGAGGGUGGUGGAAUUCCCGGAGUAGCGGUGAAAUGCGCAGAUACCGGGAGGAACGCCGAUGGCGAAGGCAGCCACCCGGUCCACUUCUGACGCUGAGGCGCGAAAGCGUGGGGAGCAAACCGGAUUAGAUACCCGGGUAGUCCACGCCCUAAACGAUGCGCGCUAGGUCUCUGGGUUUAUCUGGGGGCCGAAGCCAACGCGUUAAGCGCGCCGCCUGGGGAGUACGGCCGCAAGGCUGAAACUCAAAGGAAUUGACGG
This 406-nucleotide ribosomal RNA is filed under the name uncultured bacterium. RNAcentral's name for it is "bacterial SSU rRNA". It matches the Rfam family "Bacterial small subunit ribosomal RNA", at positions 506 to 916 of the family's 1533-position model. The record is from RNAcentral.